CGUUCCAUGGCCAAACUGGUCAAGGCAUCGCUGAUUAUAGGCGAAGGUGCGGGUUCGAGUCCUGCUGGAGCGG
RNAcentral lists this transfer RNA (73 nucleotides) under Operophtera brumata (winter moth). It matches the Rfam family "tRNA". Rfam says of the family: Transfer RNA (tRNA) molecules are approximately 80 nucleotides in length. Their secondary structure includes four short double-helical elements and three loops (D, anti-codon, and T loops). Further hydrogen bonds mediate the characteristic L-shaped molecular structure. tRNAs have two regions of fundamental functional importance: the anti-codon, which is responsible for specific mRNA codon recognition, and the 3' end, to which the tRNAs corresponding amino acid is attached (by aminoacyl-tRNA synthetases). tRNAs cope with the degeneracy of the genetic code in two manners: having more than one tRNA (with a specific anti-codon) for a particular amino acid; and 'wobble' base-pairing, i.e. permitting non-standard base-pairing at the 3rd anti-codon position. Lineage: Eukaryota; Metazoa; Arthropoda; Insecta; Lepidoptera; Geometridae. The record is from Rfam by way of RNAcentral.